Molecule: RNA transcript, 3517 nt
Organism: Drosophila serrata
Lineage: Eukaryota; Metazoa; Arthropoda; Insecta; Diptera; Drosophilidae
Gene: Sema2b
Gene name: Semaphorin 2b
Source: RefSeq, a predicted model, not a curated record
UCGCCGCGGCCGGGAAAACGGAAAAUUAACGUAAAGACUGAACGCGGAAUCGAGACAUAAAUAAACGAAAACCAGCAGUUUUGAAUAUUCGAAAAAGCCAGAAUUGAUGGGAAAAUAAUUCCGCAAGAUCCUUGUUCAUCCCAUUCUUUAGGGUACUUUAUGGUGAGCGUGAAAGUGGAAAAGUGCAAAGAGCAGACAAAAACCUAAAUGAAAACUUGUGAAUAUAUAUAUUGUGAAAGAGUGUGAAGAAAAUCCAGUCGGUGAUUAAGCCAAGAAGCCGUUCCCAAACUAAACAGUUUCCAGUGAGGUUCGACAGCAGCCGAAGUUUUCCGAAGUUGCCGCGAAGCGAACGCUGGCGAGUGUGUUUAUUUAACACACUUCCUCGUGGCGAAAGCCUUCAGUUCGUGUCUGCUGCUCGCGAAGUGCGCGUGAACAGGGGAAACGGAUACGGAAACGUAAAUGUAAACGAAAGCGGAAACGGAAGCGAGAACUUGAACGAAAUUCGACUCGAAGCGAGACUGUGUGUGCGUGUCUGUGUAAUGGAAAGAUCGCUGCAUCCAAAAGAUCACCAUGUCCAGCUCAAGAUUGCUCAACUAGUUAAUUAAUAACUUAUAACUGAAGAAAACAAAAAUAAUAACAAACAACCGGUGUGUGUGACUCAAAGAGCAGCUCUUUAAAGAAACCGUAUUAAGCCAAGACUUUACCUUGGAUUAGGCAGCAUGUGUGCCACGGGGAGGAACCACCGGCUCCUCAAUCGCCUCAGCAGCCUCAGCGCCCUGCUCCUCGUCCUUGGCGCGCAAUUCAUUCGCGUGGAGUUCGCCCGGGCGGAUUACGAGAACACCUGGAAUUUGUAUUACGAGCCGCCAUGCUGCACAGGCUCCGCCGCCGGCCAUCAUCUGCGUCACCACAAAGAUCAUGUCAAGGACUUUAGCUGUGGCCCGCUGCACUACAAAACUUUCUACAUGGAUGAGCGCAAUAAUGCGCUCUAUGUGGGUGCAAUGGAUCGCAUCUUUCGUCUCAAUCUGCGCAACAUCAGUCAAUCGAUUUGUGAGCGCGAUGUCCUCAUAUUGGAGCCCACCGGCUCGGAUAUUCUCAACUGUGUGUCCAAGGGCAAGCGGGAGAAGGUGGAGUGCCGCAAUCACAUAAGAGUUAUUCAACCGAUGAAUUUCAAUGGACAGAAGCUGUAUGUUUGCGGGACCAAUGCCCACAAUCCAAAGGAUUAUGUAAUAAAUGCAAACUUAACACAUUUACCCAGAUCCCAGUACGUGCCCGGCAUCGGCCUGGGCAUUGGCAAGUGUCCCUACGAUCCCGCUGACAACUCAACCGCCGUCUAUGUGGAGAACGGAAAUCCCUUCGGUUUGCCCGCCCUGUACGCCGGCACGAAUGCAGAGUUCACCAAAGCGGAUUCCGUCAUAUUUCGCUCGGACCUUUACAAUCUGACAAAUGGACGCAAGGAGGCCAACUUCAAGAGAACCGUCAAAUAUGACUCCAAGCUGCUUGACAAACCCAACUUUGUUGGCUCCUUUGAGAUUGGAGAGUUUGUUUACUUCUUUUUCCGGGAACAUGCCGUGGAGUAUAUCAACUGUGGCAAGGCGGUGUAUUCCCGUGUGGCAAGGGUUUGUAAAAACGAUCGUGGUGGCAAAUAUAUGAUCAGCCAGAAUUGGGCCACUUACCUGAAGGCUCGCAUGAACUGCAGCAUAUCCAGCGAGUUUCCCUUCUACUUCAAUGAGAUACAAUCGGUGUACAAGAUGCCCUCGGAUGAUACCAAAUUCUAUGCUACAUUUACAACGAAUACAAAUGGUCUGAUUGGAUCGGCAGUAUGUAGCUACGAUAUAGGAGAUAUUAAUGCAGCCUUUGAUGGCAAAUUCAAGGAGCAGGCCACCUCAAAUAGCGCCUGGCUGCCCGUGCUGAACUCCAAAGUGCCGGAGCCACGUCCGGGAACUUGCCACAACGACACCGCCACGCUGCCGGACUCCGUGUUGAAUUUCAUCCGCAAACAUCCGCUAAUGGACAAGGCGGUCGAUCAUGAAUUUGGCAAUCCGGUCUUCUUCAAGCGGGACGUCAUCCUCACCAAGCUGGUGGUGGACAAGAUACGGAUCGACAAGCUGAACCAGGAAUUCCUCGUGUACUUUGUGGCCACAACCUCGGGCCACAUUUACAAGAUAGUUCAGUUUAUGCACUAUGGCCAGCGGCACUCAAACCUGGUGGACAUCUUUGAGGCCUCGCCGCACAACGAACCAAUCCGGGAGCUGACCCUUAGUCACAAGACGGGCUCCCUGUACCUGGCCACCGAUCAUCAGGUGAAGCAGAUCGAUAUGGCCAUGUGUGCCCGUCGCUAUGACAGCUGUUUCCGUUGCGUUGCGGAUCCUUACUGCGGCUGGGACAAGGAGGUGAAAGCCUGUCGUCCAUACCAGUUGGGUUUGCUCCAGGACGUGGCCAACGAGACGUCGGGCAUUUGCGACACGAGUGUGCUGAAGAAGAAGGUAACCUCGUCCUAUGGCCAGACACUGCAUCUUUCGUGCUUCGUCAAGAUGCCGGAAGUGCUGAGGAAGAAGCAGACCCGCUGGUAUCAUCAUUCCACGGAAAAGGGACGCUACGAGGUGCGCUACACGCCCACCAAAUACAUCGAGACGAAUGAAGGCGGACUGGUGCUCCUGGCGGUGAAUGAGGGCGAUGGCGGACGCUAUGACAGCUACUUGGAUGGCACCCUGCUCUGCAGCUACGGUGUCACCGUGGAUGCCCACAGAUGUUCGCCGCCAUCGCAGAAGCAGGACUAUCAGAAAAUCUACUCGCACUGGUGCAAUGAGUUCGAGAAAUACAAAUCGGCCAUGAAGCAGUGGCAGGCCAAACAGGAGCAAUGCGGCCUCAAGGAUAAAGCAGGACCAAUCAGCAGCAACGACGGCAAGCACGUGAACGAUGUGUUCAGCAACGAUGCCCUGGUCUGACCCAGAACGUACUUGUACAGCUUUGAAUUUCUGUCGUCGUCGUCGUCCUCGGAGGGCGUUUCCAUCGCCCACCGCACAUUGUACAUUUUCGUGUUCGUGCUUACCAUAUUUGCUCGCUUCUAAAGUUUCUAGUUAAAAUGUAAAUGCGCAGAGGAGCAAAACCAAACAGAGUGAGCCACCCAAGAAAUCUGUGUGGAAAACAUCUACGAGAAUGUGACAAGGGACGACGAAAAAAACUAAAAGGAAAAGCAACCAAGAAAGCAAAACAAAAAACAAAAAAACUAUAAAAAAGAUGGAAGGAAAAACCACUACAAAGACUGAAAUUUUUAAGCUUUUAAAAUCGACAAUAUUUCCAAUAAUUUCGAUGCGUUUAUAUAAUAUUUGGUUUUUUUUUGUGUCAUUGUUCCGUUUCGUUUUUAAAGAUGUUGUCAGCGUCUAACUGAAUGAUUUUCGACAUAUUAACUAACUGAUAUACAAAGAUGGAGUAAACGAGAAAAGUUACUAGCAAAAGGAUCCUGCCAUAAGUCAAAUGGAAAUUACGGUUUUACACUCACACAGAAAAAAAAAACACU